Molecule: ribosomal RNA, 207 nt
Filed under: uncultured bacterium
Lineage: Bacteria
Description: partial 16S ribosomal RNA
Rfam family: Bacterial small subunit ribosomal RNA
Source: RNAcentral
CGUGUAGGCGGCCGGAUAUGUCAGAUGUGAAAGCCCCGGGCUUAACCCGGGAAGUGCAUUUGAAACUGUCCGGCUCGAGUAGGGGAGAGGGAAGUGGAAUUCCUGGUGUAGAGGUGAAAUUCGUAGAUAUCAGGAGGAACACCGGUGGCGAAGGCGACUUCCUGGCCCUAUACUGACGCUGAGACGCGAGGGCGUGGGUAGCAAACA